GAGCAAUGAUAAAAAGGUUUUACUACUGACCUUUAUAACUAUGCAGGUUUCUACACUUGAUCUGAGCCCA
Molecule: small nucleolar RNA, 70 nt
Organism: Pteropus vampyrus (large flying fox)
Lineage: Eukaryota; Metazoa; Chordata; Mammalia; Chiroptera; Pteropodidae
Source: Ensembl